This 454-nucleotide long non-coding RNA is filed under the name Equus caballus (horse). RNAcentral's name for it is "lncRNA (ENSECAG00000060326.1)". The record is from RNAcentral. Lineage: Eukaryota; Metazoa; Chordata; Mammalia; Perissodactyla; Equidae.
UAAAGAUGACAGCCACCUGCCAGCGUUCUUGGGAAGAGCAAAUGAGAAACAGAGCCCUGGAUAAUGUGCCCAAUUACAAACAGCAUUUCCCGGCUUCCCUUGUGGCUGACUACGCCACAGGACUGCGUUCUCACCAACGUACGUGGAAGGGUGGCAGGGCACUUCCAAGGAGUCUUCUUAAAGAGACCUGACUCAACGGGAGGUGAGCCCCUUUUGUUCUUUCUUCCUUCCUAUUGCCUGGAAGGUAGGCUUGAUGGCUGGAGCUCCAGCAGCCAUCUUCGACUAUGAGAUGACUUUGAGAAUGGAAGCCAUAUGCUGGGAGAAUGAAAUAGAAAUAUGGAAGAAGCUCGAGUCCCUGAUGACAUCACAGAGCCACUGUGCCAGCCUUGGGCUGCCUAUUUCCAGGCUUCUUUUACAUGAGGAAGAAAUAAACUUGUAUCCUGUUCAGUACACU